This 807-nucleotide ribosomal RNA is filed under the name uncultured Desulfosarcina sp. RNAcentral describes it as "bacterial SSU rRNA". It matches the Rfam family "Bacterial small subunit ribosomal RNA", at positions 134 to 916 of the family's 1533-position model. Lineage: Bacteria; Pseudomonadati; Thermodesulfobacteriota; Desulfobacteria; Desulfobacterales; Desulfosarcinaceae. The record is from RNAcentral.
GAAUUGGGGAUAACGUUGCGAAAGUGACGCUAAUACCGAAUGAUAUCAUAGGGACUUUGGUCCUUUUGAUCAAAGAUGGCCUCUCCUUGGAAGCUAUUGUUUGAAGAUGAGCCCGCGUCCCAUUAGCUUGUUGGUGGGGUAAUGGCCUACCAAGGCAGCGAUGGGUAGCUGGUCUGAGAGGAUGAUCAGCCACACUGGAACUGACACACGGUCCAGACUCCUACGGGAGGCAGCAGUGAGGAAUUUUGCGCAAUGGGGGAAACCCUGACGCAGCAACGCCGCGUGAGUGAUGAAGGCUUUCGGGUCGUAAAGCUCUGUCAAGUGGGAAGAACUCCCGUGAGGUUAAUACCCUCAUGGUUUGACGGUACCACUGAAGGAAGCACCGGCUAACUCCGUGCCAGCAGCCGCGGUAAUACGGGGGGUGCAAGCGUUAUUCGGAUUUACUGGGCGUAAAGCGCGCGUAGGCGGCCGUUUAAGUCAGAUGUGAAAGCCCGGAGCUCAACCCCGGAAGUGCAUUUGAUACUAUUCGGCUUGAGUAUGGGAGAGGGAAGUGGAAUUCCUGGUGUAGAGGUGAAAUUCGUAGAUAUCAGGAGGAACACCGGUGGCGAAGGCGACUUCCUGGACCAAUACUGACGCUGAGGCGCGAAGGCGUGGGGAGCAAACAGGAUUAGAUACCCUGGUAGUCCACGCAGUAAACGGUGAUCACUAGGUGUAGCGGGUAUUGACCCCUGCUGUGCCGCAGCUAACGCAUUAAGUGAUCCGCCUGGGGAGUACGGCCGCAAGGUUAAAACUCAAAGGAAUUGACGG